Long non-coding RNA from Oreochromis aureus, 1084 nucleotides. NCBI's taxonomy places the organism in Eukaryota, Metazoa, Chordata, Actinopteri, Cichliformes, Cichlidae. The record is from Ensembl.
UAGAUUCUAUCAGUGGCCACGCCCCCUUGAAGGUUAAAUCGUCUGUCAUCAAGGAAGUUAAAAGUUUUUCAAGGCUGAAGGAGGAGAGAUGUCUGCUGGUACAUCUGCGUCACUCUGCUGCGGUUUGCUGUCUGCCUGCGUCCUGCUGGUCUCUGCAGUCCAGAGAAACAUCACAGUUGAGCCCGGACAGAACGUCACUCUGCCAUGUCGAGCUCCAAACAACACCAGGUCCAUCUGCGUAGCAGAGUGGAGCAGGGCUGACCUCGGGACAGAUUAUGUCCUUUUCUACAGAGAGAAGCGAAUUGAUCCAGACAACCAGCAUCCAUCCUUUGUGAACCGGGUAGAUCUGCAGGAUGGAGAGAUCACAGAUGGAGACGUGUCUUUGAUUCUGAAGCAUGUGACGGCUAACGACACUGGAACGUACCAUUGUCGUGUCGUUAAAUGCCGUCAACGUCUUAAUAUUCCCACCCCCCCCAUCAGCAGCAUCCAGCUGACUGUUGUUGAUCUUUCAGAUCUACAACGAAGCGUCAGCAAUGGAGGAAGCUUGAUUGCAUGUGUUGGACUUAUAGCUGGUCUGUUACUUUCUGCUGUGCUUCUUGUUGCUGAACUCUGAGUCAACACUGUUGUCAUCCAGGAUUUGAAAGAUUCCCACAACUGGAAAGAUUCCAAUGAAUGUCAAACCCACUCGUCAUCACGCUCAUCAACCAGCAGGGGGUGAUGUGAUAAUAGAAAAUUCAGUUAUAGCAAAUGUAGAAUUUUUGUGUUUUAAUUCAGAGAAGCAACACGCUUUGAUAAUAUUCAUGUUAGCAGCACUGAUCCUGAGUUCAAACCUGAGCAGGACACUCCCACCAGUGCAAACAAAUAUUAAUUCACUGUAACUUUUAACCCUUGACCUUUAUUUGUUGAACUACAAAAGUCCAGCUUAUUGUUCAUUAUUCUGUGCAAUGUCACGAGCCAUUAAAAAUCGGAUGAAAAGUUUUGCAGUAACAUGUGUCCUACAUUUAUUUUGUAUCUUUUAUUUGUCACAUUUCAUUUUUACUGUGUACUGAAAACAACAGCUGAAUAAAGUGAAUAAUGCUGUGAG